GCCUCCCGCCGCGCAGGCUCGGCGUUGGCCUCCGCGGCCCGUGCGAGUGCGCCCUUCUCGGGUCCCCUAGGUCGCGGGGCAGCCGGGGCGGAAGGGGCUUGUUCAUUAUUUUGAGAGUUUGUUGUGAACGUCAUAACCUUUCGUCCUUAAAUAUUGCCGAUACUUGACCUACGCAAGAGACAAUGUCAUGUGAUUCAGCCUAAUAUCUCAGAGGAUGCAGCAUUCAAGGUUCUAUCUUGGAAGCAGAGACUGUGCCCUCACCAGAUGCUGAACCUGCUGAGCACCCUGAUCUUCCACUUCACCUUCAUCAGAACUGGUGCUAAGAAUUCUGAAUUUAUUGAGGAAAUAAAUGUCUGAUUGCAACAAAAGAAAACUUGUCUGGCUUUGGGAAGGAAGAGGCUUAGGAAAAAAAUUAAAGGCGUCUUUACUAGAAGUUCAAGACUGGGGCUGUGGCUGAGAUGUCACAUGGCAGAUAGGAUCACAAAUUUCUGUUGUAUCUGGAUGGAGAUCAGCAGGAGGAUCUAUGGGUGAGAAGAAGCACAGUUACAGAUGGAUUCUAGAGCCUGCUUGCUGACACAGGCUUGCAACUGCGGACUUUAUAAGCUUAGUUUUUAAUCUGCUAUCAGCUAGCAUAAUACCAUAAAUGCAUAAGAAACUAAGUAUUCAGUCUUACGAGAAAUGCUAUCUUGACCUGACCCUUUCUCCAAAUAAAUUGACAAAAUAUCUCAUCGUCUAGGAUGCCAGACAGAAAUACCAGUUGCAAUGUUUUGUUGCAUAAAGUUUAUCCUAAUUUAAAUUAGUGGCAUAUAAAGUCAUCAUCUUGCUUGAACAAACAUCUUAUUAAAUUGAGCAUGUCUUUUAUCCCAUGAAAUGAAAUUAAUUUUGAGAUAGUUAUUUUUCAGUUGGAAAUUUAUUGAGUUGAUAGAAAACAAGUUAUAUAGUCUUCCAAAGAAUAUGUUACAUCCAUUUGCAUUUUGUUUUUCUUCAGCAAUGUUUGGUUUUUAGAAAAUCUUACAAGUUAAAUAUACUAAUGUAGAAAUUGAAAGAAAAUAAUCAGAGAUAGAGCAAUAAAUUUGCAAAUAAAGAUUAUUCUUAAAACAAAUGUUUACUGUAGUUUUAUUUAUAUAAAAAAUCCCAAACUACCCAAGUCUUCAAAUAAUAAAGACACUAUUAAAAAA
Molecule: long non-coding RNA, 1178 nt
Organism: Homo sapiens (human)
Lineage: Eukaryota; Metazoa; Chordata; Mammalia; Primates; Hominidae
Product: long intergenic non-protein coding RNA 882
Source: Ensembl